Molecule: ribosomal RNA, 805 nt
Filed under: bioreactor metagenome
Description: bacterial SSU rRNA
Rfam family: Bacterial small subunit ribosomal RNA
Source: RNAcentral
CGAAGGCGGCCACCUGGGACGGUACUGACGCUGAGGAACGAAAGCAUGGGUAUCAAACGGGAUUAGAUACCCCGGUAGUCCAUGCCGUAAACGAUGGGCACUAGGUGUCGGAGGAGCUUACCCCUUCGGUGCCGCAGCUAACGCAUUAAGUGCCCACCUGGGGAGUACGAUCGCAAGGUUGAAACUCAAAGGAAUUGACGGGGGCCCGCACAAGCGGUGGAGCAUGUGGUUUAAUUCGAUGCAACGCGAAGAACCUUACCUGGACUUGACAUGUAGGAGACAGCCGUAGAAAUACGGUUUCCUUCGGGUUCCUACACAGGUGCUGCAUGGCUGUCGUCAGCUCGUGUCGUGAAAUGUUGGGUUAAGUCCCGCAACGAGCGCAACCCUUGUCCUUAGUUGCCAUCAGGUAAUGCUGGGAACUCUAAGGAGACUGCCGGUGACAAACCGGAGGAAGGUGGGGACGACGUCAAGUCAUCAUGGCCCUUACGUCCAGGGCUACACACGUGCUACAAUGGCCGGUACAAAGAGCAGCGAGGCAGCGAUGCCGAGCGAAUCUCAAAAAGCCGGUCUCAGUUCGGAUUGUAGUCUGCAACUCGACUACAUGAAGCUGGAAUCGCUAGUAAUCGCGUAUCAGCAUGACGCGGUGAAUACGUUCCCGGGCCUUGUACACACCGCCCGUCAAGUCACCCGAGUUGGCCGCACCCCAAGUCGCUGAGCUAACCUCUUCGGAGGAGGCAGGUGCCCAAGGUGUAGUUGGUAAGGGGACUAAGUCGUAACAAGGUAGCCGUAUCGGAAGGUGCGGCUG